This 425-nucleotide ribosomal RNA is filed under the name uncultured bacterium. Its description in RNAcentral is "partial 16S ribosomal RNA". It matches the Rfam family "Bacterial small subunit ribosomal RNA", at positions 354 to 796 of the family's 1533-position model. The record is from RNAcentral.
GUGGGGAAUCUUGCGCAAUGGGCGAAAGCCUGACGCAGCCAUGCCGCGUGAAUGAUGAAGGUCUUAGGAUUGUAAAAUUCUUUCACCGGGGACGAUAAUGACGGUACCCGGAGAAGAAGCUCCGGCUAACUUCGUGCCAGCAGCCGCGGUAAUACGAAGGGGGCUAGCGUUGCUCGGAAUUACUGGGCGUAAAGGGCGCGUAGGCGGACAGCUUAGUCAGAGGUGAAAGCCCAGGGCUCAACCUUGGAAUUGCCUUUGAUACUGGCUGUCUUGAGUUUGGGAGAGGGGAGUGGAACUCCGAGUGUAGAGGUGAAAUUCGUAGAUAUUCGGAAGAACACCAGUGGCGAAGGCGACUCACUGGCCCAAUACUGACGCUGAGGCGCGAAAGCGUGGGGAGCAAACAGGAUUAGAUACCCUGGUAGUCC